This 219-nucleotide long non-coding RNA is filed under the name Elaeis guineensis (African oil palm). RNAcentral describes it as "long non-coding RNA (EGUI_LNC069744)". The record is from RNAcentral. Lineage: Eukaryota; Viridiplantae; Streptophyta; Magnoliopsida; Arecales; Arecaceae.
AGUACCAAUUUAUUUUUAUGCUCUUUAAAUUUUUAUUAUUUAUUUUAUUAUAAGUAGAUGCUAGGAUCUAGUUAGUAGAUUUUAGUACCUGAUUUAUUUUUUAUACUGUUAAUUUUUAUUUUCUGACUAAAAUUAUUUUCUUCAAAAUUUUAUUUUAUUUUUGCAAAAUCAAAGAUUUCAAAUCAAAAUUUUGCCUUCUCUGUGGAUUCGACCCAACUC